RNAcentral lists this small nuclear RNA (77 nucleotides) under Tupaia belangeri chinensis (Chinese tree shrew). RNAcentral's name for it is "Tupaia chinensis (Chinese tree shrew) U4 spliceosomal RNA". It matches the Rfam family "U4 spliceosomal RNA", at positions 1 to 74 of the family's 138-position model. From Rfam's summary of the family: U4 small nuclear RNA (U4 snRNA) is a component of the major U2-dependent spliceosome. The structure of U4 snRNA from yeast and human has been reported. U4 snRNA presents a k-turn RNA motif in the 5p-SL related to recognition of Snu13 protein. Lineage: Eukaryota; Metazoa; Chordata; Mammalia; Scandentia; Tupaiidae. The record is from Rfam by way of RNAcentral.
AGCUUUGCGCAGUGGCAGUAUCAUAGCCAAUGAGGUUUAUCCGAGGCACGAUUAUUAUUGCUAAUUAAAAUGUAAAA